This 497-nucleotide ribosomal RNA is filed under the name uncultured bacterium. RNAcentral's name for it is "partial 16S ribosomal RNA". It matches the Rfam family "Bacterial small subunit ribosomal RNA", at positions 28 to 507 of the family's 1533-position model. The record is from RNAcentral.
GACGAACGCUGGCGGCGUGCCUAAUACAUGCAAGUAGAACGCUGAAGAGAGGAGCUUGCUCUUCUUGGAUGAGUUGCGAACGGGUGAGUAACGCGUAGGUAACCUGCCUUGUAGCGGGGGAUAACUAUUGGAAACGAUAGCUAAUACCGCAUAACAAUGGAUGACCCAUGUCAUUUAUUUGAAAGGGGCAAAUGCUCCACUACAAGAUGGACCUGCGUUGUAUUAGCUAGUAGGUGAGGUAACGGCUCACCUAGGCGACGAUACAUAGCCGACCUGAGAGGGUGAUCGGCCACACUGGGACUGGGACACGGCCCAGACUCCUACGGGCGGCAGCAGUAGGGAAUCUUCGGCAAUGGGGGCAACCCUGACCGAGCAACGCCGCGUGAGUGAAGAAGGUUUUCGGAUCGUAAAGCUCUGUUGUAAGUCAAGAACGAGUGUGAGAGUGGAAAGUUCACACUGUGACGGUAGCUUACCAGAAAGGGACGGCUAACUACGUG